AAACUCUAAUAGUUUAUAAAAACAUCGGUCUUGUAAACCGAAGAAUGAAGASUUCCCC
RNAcentral lists this transfer RNA (58 nucleotides) under Goura cristata (Western crowned-pigeon). RNAcentral's name for it is "tRNA-Thr". Lineage: Eukaryota; Metazoa; Chordata; Aves; Columbiformes; Columbidae. The record is from RNAcentral.